RNAcentral lists this ribosomal RNA (466 nucleotides) under uncultured bacterium. RNAcentral describes it as "partial 16S ribosomal RNA". It matches the Rfam family "Bacterial small subunit ribosomal RNA", at positions 30 to 507 of the family's 1533-position model. The record is from RNAcentral.
AUUGAACGCUGGCGGUAUGCUUAAGACAUGCAAGUCGUGCGGUAGGGGCUUCGGCCCUGAGAGCGGCGGACGGGUGAGUAACGCGUGGGAAUCUGCCUGCUAGUGGGGGAUAGCCCGGAGAAAUCCGGAUUAAUACCGCAUACGCCCUAAGGGGGAAAGCCGCAAGGCGCUAGUAGAUGAGCUCGCGUAAGAUUAGCUAGUUGGUGAGGUAAAGGCUCACCAAGGCGACGAUCUUUAGCUGGUCUGAGAGGAUGGCCAGCCACAUCGGGACUGAGACACGGCCCGGACUCCUACGGGAGGCAGCAGUAGGGAAUAUUGGACAAUGGGCGCAAGCCUGAUCCAGCCAUGCCGCGUGAGUGAAGAAGGCCCUCGGGUUGUAAAGCUCUUUUGUCCGGAAAGAAAAGCACUGGGUUAAUACCCCGGUGUCCUGACGGUACCGGAAGAAUAAGCACCGGCUAACUUCGUG